This 243-nucleotide long non-coding RNA is filed under the name Felis catus (domestic cat). Its description in RNAcentral is "lncRNA (ENSFCAG00000047713.1)". The record is from RNAcentral. Lineage: Eukaryota; Metazoa; Chordata; Mammalia; Carnivora; Felidae.
AUGUUGGAGUUUGAAGAGUCUUCUUGGACAAUGAGAUUAUACUGGAUGACUAUUGUGAAACACCAAAGAAAACACUCCAGGAAUUCUGAAACAAACAAACAAAAUGCGCAGAUGUAUGAGACACCAAAGAGGAAUUAUGUCAAAUCAAAUUAUUUAUUAUUUGAUCUUAAAAGAUGAUCAAGAGGAGCAAAUGUCCAAUGUUUAAAUUCUAGGACCGAAAAUAAAUAUUUCAGAAGACUCUCA